RNAcentral lists this ribosomal RNA (311 nucleotides) under uncultured eukaryote. RNAcentral's name for it is "partial 18S ribosomal RNA". It matches the Rfam family "Eukaryotic small subunit ribosomal RNA", at positions 1470 to 1796 of the family's 1831-position model. The record is from RNAcentral.
CCCCUAGACGUUCUGGGCUGCACGCGCGCUACAAUAAUACGCACAGCGAGUAUCACCGAGCUCGAAAGGGCAAGGUAAACAAUAGAAAAGGUACUGUAAUGGUUAUAGAUCCUUGUAAUUAUUGAUCUUCAACGAGGAAUUCCUAGUAAGUAUGUGUCAUCAUCACGCACUGAUUACGUCCCUGCCCUUUGUACACACCGCCCGUCGCUCCUACCGAUUGGGUGAGCCGAUGAAACUCUCGGAUGUAGGCCAUUCAUAGCCCGCAGAAGAGAUUUGAAUCGUAGCGCUUAGAGGAAGGAGAAGUCGUAACA